AGCUAAAAAUCACUGUAAGAAAAAGAAAUAUUUCAAGUGUGGAUUGUGGUAUCAUUGUCAUGCUCAUCAUGGAGUGCAUAUUCACCAACAAACCAAUCCCGAAGACUUUUAAAGAGGAAGAUAUUCGUUGGUUUAGAGCGCAUGUUGUUCAUUUGCUUCUCAAUGACAAAUGCCAUGUAUGAGGGUGAUAGUGCCAAGAAGUUGGCUUAGGAAGCAAACAAAGUGUAAAUGUUGUUUUUGAUACUAUGGUUUAAGUAUUAAUGCAAUGAUAUUUUGCUAGGU
Long non-coding RNA from Tripterygium wilfordii, 282 nucleotides. RefSeq lists it as uncharacterized. The transcript has 2 exons. NCBI's taxonomy places the organism in Eukaryota, Viridiplantae, Streptophyta, Magnoliopsida, Celastrales, Celastraceae. The record is from RefSeq and is a predicted model, not a curated record.